Molecule: ribosomal RNA, 783 nt
Filed under: uncultured bacterium
Lineage: Bacteria
Description: bacterial SSU rRNA
Rfam family: Bacterial small subunit ribosomal RNA
Source: RNAcentral
AGAGUUUGAUCAUGGCUCAGGACGAACGCUGGCGGCGUGCUUAACACAUGCAAGUCGAACGGAAAGGUCUCUUCGGAGAUACUCGAGUGGCGAACGGGUGAGUAACACGUGGGUAAUCUGCCCUGCACUUCGGGAUAAGCCUGGGAAACUGGGUCUAAUACCGGAUAGGACCAAAAGGCGCAUGCCUUGUGGUGGAAAGCUUUUGCGGUGUGGGAUGGGCCCGCGGCCUAUCAGCUUGUUGGUGGGGUGACGGCCUACCAAGGCGACGACGGGUAGCCGGCCUGAGAGGGUGUCCGGCCACACUGGGACUGAGAUACGGCCCAGACUCCUACGGGAGGCAGCAGUGGGGAAUAUUGCACAAUGGGCGCAAGCCUGAUGCAGCGACGCCGCGUGGGGGAUGACGGCCUUCGGGUUGUAAACCUCUUUCACCAUCGACGAAGGUCCGGGUUUUCUCGGAUUGACGGUAGGUGGAGAAGAAGCACCGGCCAACUACGUGCCAGCAGCCGCGGUAAUACGUAGGGUGCGAGCGUUGUCCGGAAUUACUGGGCGUAAAGAGCUCGUAGGUGGUUUGUCGCGUUGUUCGUGAAAUCUCACGGCUUAACUGUGAGCGUGCGGGCGAUACGGGCAGACUGGAGUACUGCAGGGGAGACUGGAAUUCCUGGUGUAGCGGGAAUGCGCAGAUAUCAGGAGGAACACCGGUGGCGAAGGCGGGUCUCUGGGCAGUAACUGACGCUGAGGAGCGAAAGCGUGGGGAGCGAACAGGAUUAGAUACCCUAGUAGUCC